UCCAUCACCAUGGGGAGGACUACGACCAACGCAACCACCACGACCUCCACGGAAGCCAAAAUAACCAGAUGAAGAGGCCAAUACCUUUUUAUCAGCUGCAUUAACCUAAGACUUGUCAAAUUCAUUUGUCAGGGAGACUCUUUGAAGUCUUGCAUAUACCUCUACCACUGAAGUAGUGGAAACUCCUUUCAAAAUCUAAUCCUUUGUUGAUUGAUAUUCCUUAGGCAAUCCAGACAAAAGGUUUACUAACUUCAUAUCUUUCCACUGCUUCUUCAUAAGGGUGACAUCUGAGUCAACAUGAUGAUAUAUGGCUAGUUCUUCCCACAUUCCAGUCAACUUUGUGAAAUAUUCACCAAGGGGCUUGUCCUCCUUUUGAAAAGAAAAUAUUUCCUCAUACAAUUGAUACACUUGAGAAACGUUCUGUUCCGUGGAAUACAUCUUCCUUAUAGUAUACCAAAUGUCCUUUGCUGUGCUUAAGAAGACCAAAUUACAACUCACCUUAGAUUCCAUACUAUUCCAUAACCAAGAGCGAAUUUGCUCGUCCUCAUGCAUCCAUCGUCUGUAUUUUGGAUCAGAUUCCGUUGGCUUAAGAUCCGUGAGGAACUGAUCCUUUUCGCGGGCUAAGAGAAACACAAAAGUUUGGCCAUUUGGCCCACAGAAGGUAAUUCUUUCCAUUCAGCUUCACAAAAGAUAUUGAUGCAUUGAAGGAGGAUCCAGACAUUUCCUCAAGAGAUGAGGAGCCAACAACUGUACUUUUGGGCUCCAUAGAUAUACCAGAACUAGCUUGCUUCAAAGCCAAAAGAGAAAUGCUGACCGAGAAGAGAUCCACACAUAACUAUACCUUCACAAUAAAAUAACAUGAAGAUUGCUGGCCCAUUAUCACCUUAAUUGACAUCAAUACCAAACCCACAUCGCAUAUGACUUAACGGGAGAGAAUAUUCUAUCAAAAGAACUGCUUCCACCUAACUCAACAAUCUUAAACAAACGAUUUUAACAUAACCUUAUGAGAAAUCAGCAAGCUUUUAUAAUUCAACAAGGCAUGUAAGCUCAUUUUUGUGAGUGUUUCCUUCUACUAGAGGAACAAUGCAGAAAUCAACCUGUUUUUUUUCACAAACGGACGAUGAAAUGUGCUCCCCUUUGCAGUCCGAUCAGCCCCUGACGUGUUGGAAGGCCCUUAUGAAAAAAGAUCCAGUAACUUCGGUUUGAUCGGGAUGAAUUACGGAGUCCAAACCACUUCUAGGAUAGCUUUGAUACCAUGUAAGUUGGUAUAGAAAAGAGAAAAGUAGAAGAAAGGAUGAAAAGAAGAGAA
Molecule: long non-coding RNA, 1309 nt
Organism: Magnolia sinica
Lineage: Eukaryota; Viridiplantae; Streptophyta; Magnoliopsida; Magnoliales; Magnoliaceae
Exons: 2
Source: RefSeq, a predicted model, not a curated record